This 890-nucleotide ribosomal RNA is filed under the name uncultured archaeon. Its description in RNAcentral is "bacterial SSU rRNA". It matches the Rfam family "Archaeal small subunit ribosomal RNA", at positions 5 to 901 of the family's 1478-position model. The record is from RNAcentral.
CGGUUGAUCCUGCCGGAGGUUACUGCUAUCGAGGUUCGACUAAGCCAUGCGAGUCAAAUGUAGCAAUACAUGGCGUACUGCUCAGUAACACGUGGACAACCUACCCUUGAGACGGGGAUAAACCCGGGAAACUGGGUAUAAUACCCGAUAGAUCUCGACUGCUGGAAUGCAUCGAGAUCCAAAGCUCCGGCGCUCAAGGAUGGGUCUGCGGCCUAUCAGGUAGUAGUGGGUGUAGCGUACCUACUAGCCUACGACGGGUACGGGUUGUGAGAGCAAGAGCCCGGAGAUGGAUUCUGAGACACGAAUCCAGGCCCUACGGGGUGCAGCAGGCGCGAAAACUUUACAAUGCUGGAAACAGCGAUAAGGGGACCUCGAGUGCCAGGUUACAAACCUGGCUGUCGUGAUGCCUAAAAAGCAUUGCAUAGCAAGGGCCGGGCAAGACCGGUGCCAGCCGCCGCGGUAACACCGGCGGCUCGAGUGGUAACCGUUAUUAUUGGGUCUAAAGGGUCUGUAGCCGGCCGGAUAAGUCUCUUGGGAAAUCUGGCAGCUUAACUGUCAGGCUUUCAGGAGAUACUGUCUGGCUCGAGGCCGGGAGAGGUGAGAGGUACUUCAGGGGUAGGGGUGAAAUCUUGUAAUCCUUGAAGGACCACCAGUGGCGAAGGCGUCUCACCAGAACGGACCUGACGGCAAGGGACGAAAGCUAGGGGCACGAACCGGAUUAGAUACCCGGGUAGUCCUAGCCGUAAACGAUACUCGCUAGGUGUCGGCCACGGUGCGACCGUUGUCGGUGCCGUAGGGAAGCCGUGAAGCGAGCCACCUGGGAAGUACGGCCGCAAGGCUGAAACUUAAAGGAUUGGCGGGGGAGCACCACAACGGGUGGAGCUUGCGGU